CGUGGGCAACCUGCCUGUAAGACUGGGAUAACUUCGGGAAACCGAAGCUAAUACCGGAUAGGAUCUUCUCCUUCAUGGGAGAUGAUUGAAAGAUGGUUUCGGCUAUCACUUACAGAUGGGCCCGCGGUGCAUUAGCUAGUUGGUGAGGUAACGGCUCACCAAGGCAACGAUGCAUAGCCGACCUGAGAGGGUGAUCGGCCACACUGGGACUGAGACACGGCCCAGACUCCUACGGGAGGCAGCAGUAGGGAAUCUUCCGCAAUGGACGAAAGUCUGACGGAGCAACGCCGCGUGAGUGAUGAAGGCUUUCGGGUC
RNAcentral lists this ribosomal RNA (315 nucleotides) under Priestia aryabhattai. RNAcentral's name for it is "bacterial SSU rRNA". It matches the Rfam family "Bacterial small subunit ribosomal RNA", at positions 116 to 424 of the family's 1533-position model. Lineage: Bacteria; Bacillati; Bacillota; Bacilli; Caryophanales; Bacillaceae. The record is from RNAcentral.